Molecule: long non-coding RNA, 248 nt
Filed under: Gossypium raimondii (Peruvian cotton)
Lineage: Eukaryota; Viridiplantae; Streptophyta; Magnoliopsida; Malvales; Malvaceae
Description: long non-coding RNA (GRAI_LNC003926)
Source: RNAcentral
CAAUAGUCACUCAACUUUGAUGCAGCUAACAAAACAGUCACUUUGAUUUUAAUUUAGUCACUUAAACAAAUCAGUCAUUUUAAUCAUUUUCUAUUACAGAUGUAACAAAAAAGUGACAUGGCAUUCUAUUGUGUAAACGUCCCCAAUUUAAAACCCUAGCUAGGUUGGGUAGUAAAAGAAAAAGAAAACGUAGAAAAGAAGAAGAAAAGAAGAAAAAGAAGAAAAAAUUUCCAAAGCUCCACUCAUCC